Molecule: long non-coding RNA, 744 nt
Organism: Malus domestica (apple)
Lineage: Eukaryota; Viridiplantae; Streptophyta; Magnoliopsida; Rosales; Rosaceae
Source: RefSeq, a predicted model, not a curated record
CACAUCAAUUCUAAAAAAACUUGGUCUGCUACUUUACUUACGAUGGUAUUGGUUUACUCCAACGAUAAUGGCUAGCUAGGAUAGCCUUUCUUUAUGUCUUAAUUAUUGAUAGUGCUAUCAUCAUGGCAGGCUAUGUUGGAGCAAAAACUGUGCAGGCAAAGACAUAAGAGUGAUGGCUUUUGGAAUGAAAUGCAGAGGAUAUCCUUUUGCGCUGCUUAAAGAAGAGCUCAACAUGAGGGUGCAAGAGAGCUAUUGGUACAAUAAAGAAAGGAAAAGUUGUACGCCACUACAGCACUACGCUGGGUGCUAGCCAACAUGAUAACAGUACUUACAAGAUAACAAUAACAAUAUAAAAAUGAUUAAGAUAGUGAAGGAAUGGUGAGGAUUGGAAGGCAGAUGAGUGUACAAGUGAGAGGAAGAUUGAAGAAGAAAGCAGUAAAAUGCAGUUGGGUCCUUAAUGCACUCCUAAUGAAUAGAUUGAGAAGUUUAAGGAUGUUGAGAGUUUGAGAAAUGCUGGAGGUAUCAUCAUCUCAGCUUCUGAUUUUUAAAACCAUCCAUCAUGGAACCUUGAAUUUUUUUUAUUAUUUAAAUUUUUAUUUAUAUACAAUAAGGUCCGGAUAGUAUAGGUAUAAUUUUUAAUUAAAUUCUUGAAUCUUUGAAUUUUAUAUCAAUUUCAUUUGACGUUAAUCAGUCAUUGUUUGUAGAUUGCCAAUAAUCAAAGUGAUUAAUCACUAAUUGGAAAUA